AUUGAACGCUGGCGGCAUGCCUUACACAUGCAAGUCGAACGGUAACAGGUUAAGCUGACGAGUGGCGAACGGGUGAGUAAUGUAUCGGAACGUGCCCAGUCGUGGGGGAUAACUGCUCGAAAGAGCAGCUAAUACCGCAUACGACCUGAGGGUGAAAGCGGGGGAUCGCAAGACCUCGCGCGAUUGGAGCGGCCGAUAUCAGAUUAGGUAGUUGGUGAGGUAAAGGCUCACCAAGCCGACGAUCUGUAGCUGGUCUGAGAGGACGACCAGCCACACUGGGACUGAGACACGGCCCAGACUCCUACGGGAGGCAGCAGUGGGGAAUGUUGGACAAUGGGCGCAAGCCUGAUCCAGCCAUGCCGCGUGCGGGAAGAAGGCCUUCGGGUUGUAAACCGCUUUUGUCAGGGAAGAAAAGGUUCUGGCUAAUACCUGGGACUCAUGACGGUACCUGAAGAAUAAGCACCGGCUAACUACG
This 475-nucleotide ribosomal RNA is filed under the name uncultured bacterium. Its description in RNAcentral is "partial 16S ribosomal RNA". It matches the Rfam family "Bacterial small subunit ribosomal RNA", at positions 30 to 505 of the family's 1533-position model. The record is from RNAcentral.